This 100-nucleotide ribosomal RNA is filed under the name Thalassospira povalilytica. The record is from RNAcentral. Lineage: Bacteria; Pseudomonadati; Pseudomonadota; Alphaproteobacteria; Rhodospirillales; Thalassospiraceae.
GGCCGGGAACCACCUGAUCCCAUCCCGAACUCAGAAGUGAAACCAGCCUGCGCCGAUGGUACUUUGUCUUAAGGCACGGGAGAGUAGGUCACCGCCGGGC